RNAcentral lists this ribosomal RNA (382 nucleotides) under uncultured eukaryote. RNAcentral's name for it is "partial 18S ribosomal RNA". It matches the Rfam family "Eukaryotic small subunit ribosomal RNA", at positions 592 to 976 of the family's 1831-position model. The record is from RNAcentral.
UGUAAGCGUAUACCAUAGUUGUUGCAGUUAAAACGCUCGUAGUCGGAAUUUGGCAGUUCCGGAAGUGUGCACGUCGUGUGCGCACUUUGCGGGGACUGCUUUUGUGGUCUUGCGUAGGAUGAGGCACUUUCAUUAGUGAACGUCCUCACGCAACCACUCCUUACUGUGAGAAAAUCAUAGUGCUCAAAGCAGGCAUUUGCCGUGAAUGUAUUAGCAUGGAAUAAUAGAAUAGGACUCGGUUCUAUUUUGUUGGUUUGUUGGGACUGAGUAAUGAUUAAGAGGGACAGUUGGGGGCAUUUGUAUUCCGGCGCUAGAGGUGAAAUUCUUAGAUUGCCGGAAGACAAACUGCUGCGAAAGCGUCUGCCAAGGAUGUUUUCAUUGA